UACAGAGGGCUCAAGCGUUGUCCGGAUUUAUUGGGCGUAAAGGGCUCGUAGGCGGUUUGUCGCGUCGGGAGUGAAAACUCAGGGCUUAACCCUGAGCCUGCUUUCGAUACGGGCAGACUAGAGGUAUGCAGGGGAGAACGGAAUUCCUGGUGUAGCGGUGGAAUGCGCAGAUAUCAGGAGGAACACCGGUGGCGAAGGCGGUUCUCUGGGCAUUACCUGACGCUGAGGAGCGAAAGUGUGGGGAGCGAACAGG
This 253-nucleotide ribosomal RNA is filed under the name uncultured bacterium. RNAcentral describes it as "partial 16S ribosomal RNA". It matches the Rfam family "Bacterial small subunit ribosomal RNA", at positions 524 to 776 of the family's 1533-position model. The record is from RNAcentral.